This 1492-nucleotide long non-coding RNA is filed under the name Homo sapiens (human). RNAcentral describes it as "MIR124-1 host gene". Lineage: Eukaryota; Metazoa; Chordata; Mammalia; Primates; Hominidae. The record is from RNAcentral.
GAGAAAGCUGCAGUGCACAUCCUGCAGACUGCAGGUGCUGGGCUGCCUCUGGAGUCCCAGAAGGCAAGCUUGGCUGCAGGACAGAAAGGGAGAACAGCUUCUCUCACCCCUGAGCCUUCACAAGCCCUUGUCUAUUUGCCGUUGCCUUCAAAAUAUACCUCCCCCGAAACCAGUAGCUUUCUGAGUCCUGGUGUCCCCUCCGCCCUUUCUGGACAGGUUUGGGAAGAAGAAAGCAGUCAGUGCUGGGCCUUAUUGGGGUGUGAAGCGCCUUGCUCUGCCCCUUCUGCUCACUGUGAAGGCCGCUGGAUGCUUCUCUUAGGCAUGGUUUAAGCCUCCGAUUACUAAACCCCUUGCCCCACAAACGUCCACAUUGACGAGCCUCUUUUUAGUAACUGCUUCCCCGUAAUUCCUUCAGAGGUUGCUGUACCCUUCGCUGAUGUGCUGCCCUCCUGUAAAACCUCCAGAUGCCUUCCCACGUAAUGCCCCUUUCAGAUGCUUUAAGCUGAGAGCUUAAACCACAGGUACCAUGGCUGACGCCUGCCAGGUUUCUGCUGCAGAUAAUCUAUGAUGGGAGGGGCAUAUUUUUUACUUCAUUACUUAUGUAAACUCUUGUUCCAGAAAGCUUUAAUGUGUGUGGGAGUGUUCUGGGUCUAUUAGGUCUGUGCGCAUGGGUGUGGGCAUUUGCCUGUGUCCACCGGGUGGGUCUCAUUAUGAAAUGUAUGUUUAUGUAGGGCUUUAAUGGCUGAAAAUGGCAAAGAGAUGAAUAGACCACUUGGCCCCAUGUGUAAUUGCCAGGCCCCUUCUGUGCUCAAAUGAGGUGUCCGAGUGAAGGUCAGCCCUUCCCUUCUGUAUUUGGGGCCUAUUUAUGCCACCAGUAAUUUUAUAAGAAAUCUGAAUAGUUCUCCCCUUUGAGUGCAUUUAACUCUUUAGUAUCUUCUCUCUUACCUAUUUGAGCCCCUCUAGCUACAGUCUGGCUUAAAUGAAAGGGGAAUUAUAUGCUUAAGAAAAAGUAGGACACGGUUGAGGCAGUUUGCUGACUGAAUACGCGAAGAAGGACCUGAUGGGCUCAUAUGCACCACUGCCAUCACAGUCCCCAUCGUGAUGCAAGCUUAUAUGAUUCUUGAGGUAACUCUACCAGAUACUUCCAGAUUUAGAAAUGUGUCAAAGGAAAAAUUGGUGAUACUCUUCUUUCCCCUGCCAGAAACAGCCCAGAUCUCCUCUUAAGCGGAAAAGAGAUUGACCUUCUAGCAGAGGCAAAGGUAAACUCCUAAUGGAGUCUUCUGGGGGCAGCUGCAAAGCGUUCUCCCUAGGACAGAUGGAGCCUCCCUUUCCUCAUCUACUCUGUGGGUGGUUUCAGGGCCCACGAGUCAACAUGAGGAGUUGUGCUGGUGGUAUGUGUGUUGGAGGCUGGGCUGGCUGAUUCACAGUGACGAGGAUGUCAAUAAUAACAAGAAUGAGAAUGAUGGUACCUAAUAAAGACUUUUUUUCCCAA